RNAcentral lists this long non-coding RNA (397 nucleotides) under Populus trichocarpa (black cottonwood). Its description in RNAcentral is "long non-coding RNA (PTRI_LNC000259)". Lineage: Eukaryota; Viridiplantae; Streptophyta; Magnoliopsida; Malpighiales; Salicaceae. The record is from RNAcentral.
UUGAGUCAGGAUAGUCCACCAGCUCCUAAAGAAUGAUUUUGACAACUAGCUUUGUAACUGGUUAAAGGAAUGCAGUGCCUUAUGGUGUUAUGUUCUUCAGGUAUUCCAUAUAUGCUUAGCCGGUCUGGGAGGCCUGCCAUAUUUACACGAGAUCCAGAUGCAAAUGCUCUGGAUUUCCAGGUUGUAAAUGUUGAAAGUGCAGAAUCUGCCAUUACAUUCUCUAUCUUUCUGCAGAUUAUGAAAACUGGGUUUAGAAACGACUCUUUCAUAAAGAAAGCAACUAUCUACUGGUUAUGCAUGUAUAUUGUCCUGCUAACGUUCAUGACUAAAAAAUCUAGUGGCUGCUCAUCUUAAUUCCUUGGAAUUCCAGUAAAAAAACACAUUAGCCCGAAAAAAA